UCUAACACUUCGAUUGAAGCUGAAUAAACCGGGCCGAGCGACCUACGAAAAAACCCAAUCAACGUUAGCAAGCCCGGAUCGAUUUGAAGAAUCGGAGAUCGCAUAGACGUUGAGAGAAACCCAAGAUUGGUCAGUUAUAAAAGAGCGACAUAAAUAAGAAAGGGGACGGAGAAAACCCUAGAGAGAGCUACACACAUUGACCUCAUUUCACUUCGUUUUAAAUCUUUCAUCUUAUCAAUCUCG
RNAcentral lists this long non-coding RNA (243 nucleotides) under Brassica rapa (field mustard). RNAcentral describes it as "long non-coding RNA (BRAP_LNC006177)". Lineage: Eukaryota; Viridiplantae; Streptophyta; Magnoliopsida; Brassicales; Brassicaceae. The record is from RNAcentral.